UGAAGGCCGUGAGGUUGUAAAGUUCUUUUCGGGAGGAGGAAUAAUGUUUGCAGGAAAUGGCAAGCAGAUGACGUGAAUCCCGGAAUAAGCCCCGGCUAACUACGUGCCAGCAGCCGCGGUAACACGUAGGGGGCAAGCGUUGUUCGGAAUCAUUGGGCGUAAAGGGCGUGCAGGCGGUGUUGCAAGUCUGGCGUGAAAGAUCUCGGCUUAACCGAGGGAACGCGCUGGAAACUGUAAUACUAGAGUACAGGAGGGGACAUUGGAAUUCCAGGUGUAGGGGUGAAAUCUGUAGAUAUCUGGAAGAACACCGGUGGCGAAGGCGAAUGUCUGGCCAUGUACUGACGCUGAGACGCGAAGGUGCGGGGAGCAAACAGGUUUAGAUACCCUGGUAGUCCGCACAGUAAACGAUGUACGCUAGGUGGUGGGUAAUUAUAUUCGCUACCGAAGCUAACGCAUUAAGUGUACCGCCUGGGGAGUAUGCUCGCAAGGGUGAAACUCAAAGGAAUUGACGGGGGCCCGCACAAGCGGUGGAGCAUGUGGUUUAAUUCGAUGAUACGCGAGAAACCUUACCAGGGCUUGACAUAUAUUGGACGAAGCUAGAGAUAGUUUUUCCCUUCGGGGUCGAUAUACAGGUGCUGCAUGGCUGUCGUCAGCUCGUGCUGUGAAGUGUUGGGUUAAGUCCCGCAACGAGCGCAACCCU
This 700-nucleotide ribosomal RNA is filed under the name uncultured bacterium. RNAcentral's name for it is "bacterial SSU rRNA". It matches the Rfam family "Bacterial small subunit ribosomal RNA", at positions 409 to 1105 of the family's 1533-position model. The record is from RNAcentral.